AUGAUCUUGCAUGUGCGUAGGAUUGUUUUUGAAAUUACUACGUUCCCCAACAAGCAACCCUUCACCGAGGAGGAAAUCUGGGCCGCCGUCAAGCUACUCCCCACCGGCAAUGCGCCCGGCCCUGACGGGUUCACGUCCGAGUUCCUGCGCACAUGUUGGCCGAUCAUCAAGGCCGACAUCUGCGCCACGUUCGACAAACUCUAUGCCCUUAAUGGUCGCGGCUUCAACAAGCUCAAUGAGGCCCUUCUCAUCCUCCUCCCCAAGAAGCCCGAUGCGUGCACGCUCGCCGACUAUAGGCCGAUCAGCUUGAUUCACCUGCUGGCCAAGCUAUUUGCCAAAGUCCUCUCCCUGAGGCUUGCUCCGAAUAUGGGGAGGCUCGUCUCUGCCAACCAAAGCGCCUUCAUCGCUGGCCGUAGCGUGCAUGAAAACUUCCUCCUGGUCCAGCAAAAUGCGCGCCUGCUCCACAACUUGAAGGCCCCGAGAAUUCUUCUCAAACUCGACAUCGCGAAGGCAUUUGAUACCAUGUCCUGGCCCUUCCUCCUGCAAACUCUGCGACACCUCGGUUUUGGGCGCCGCUGGUGCGAGUGGGUUUGCAUCCUCCCACUACUAGGGAAAACCUUAUACACAGCAUCUUAG
RNAcentral lists this ribosomal RNA (636 nucleotides) under Triticum aestivum (bread wheat). RNAcentral's name for it is "partial small subunit ribosomal RNA". The record is from RNAcentral. Lineage: Eukaryota; Viridiplantae; Streptophyta; Magnoliopsida; Poales; Poaceae.